This 165-nucleotide ribosomal RNA is filed under the name uncultured bacterium. Its description in RNAcentral is "partial 16S rRNA". It matches the Rfam family "Bacterial small subunit ribosomal RNA", at positions 355 to 511 of the family's 1533-position model. The record is from RNAcentral.
UAGGGAAUCUUCGGCAAUGGACGAAAGUCUGACCGAGCAACGCCGCGUGAGUGAAGAAGGUUUUCGGAUCGUAAAACUCUGUUGUUAGAGAAGAACGACGAGGAGAGUGGAAAGCUCCCUGUGUGACGGUAUCUAACCAGAAAGGGACGGCUAACUACGUGUCAG